ACUGUAAUCUUUGUCAGAUAACUCUCGGAUUUUAUUUCUCACUCUACGGGUGUCAGAAAAAUAUGAAGCUUCAAAUCUAGCCUCAUAAAAAUAUUUUUGACUUAUCCUCCAAUUUUCAUAAUUUUCUGAAACUGUGCAUUUUCUGCUAAUUUAUCUGUCCCGUUUUCAACAGAAAAUUCUAAAUCUUCUGUUUCCAAUCCGAUUUCAGCACAAGUCAUUUCUAACUUAUGUUUUACUCCUAUAAAUUCAAUAAAAAUAGUUUCUCACACUAUUUUUAUUUAUUUUUAUUUUUAUACCAAAAUCUGGCAUUGUAUAACCAAUGUCUCCAAA
RNAcentral lists this long non-coding RNA (330 nucleotides) under Ananas comosus (pineapple). Its description in RNAcentral is "long non-coding RNA (ACOM_LNC003746)". Lineage: Eukaryota; Viridiplantae; Streptophyta; Magnoliopsida; Poales; Bromeliaceae. The record is from RNAcentral.